RNAcentral lists this ribosomal RNA (775 nucleotides) under uncultured Neocallimastigales. Its description in RNAcentral is "partial large subunit ribosomal RNA". It matches the Rfam family "Eukaryotic large subunit ribosomal RNA", at positions 24 to 642 of the family's 3401-position model. The record is from RNAcentral. Lineage: Eukaryota; Fungi; Neocallimastigomycota; Neocallimastigomycetes; Neocallimastigales.
UAUCUCUGUAGAGUCUGCAUAUCAAUAAGCGGAGGAAAAGAAACUAACAAGGAUUCCCCUAGUAACGGCGAGUGAAGCGGGAAGAGCUCAAAUUUGAAAUCUUCAAGGUUCUACCUUGACGAAUUGUAGUUUAAAGAAGUGUUUUCGGUUAGAGGAGUAGUAAAAGUUCUUUGGAAUAGGACAUCAUAGAGGGUGAGAAUCCCGUAUUUGACUAUUCUUUCUAGCUUUGUGAUACACUUUCAAAGAGUCGGAUUGUUUGGGAAUGCAGUCCAAAAUGGGUGGUAAAUUUCAUCUAAAGCUAAAUAUUGGCGAGAGACCGAUAGCGAACAAGUACCGUGAGGGAAAGAUGAAAAGAACUUUGAAAAGAGAGUUAAACAGUACGUGAAAUUGUCAAAAGGGAAGCGUUUGACACCAGUGUUGUUUUUUCCGAAAAUCAAUUAAAAAUUGAUUCAUGCCAGGUUGUAUUGACCUUAUCAGCUUGCAAUUUGGUUUUGGGUCUCUUUUUGAUGCACUUUUCGGUUAACAAGUCAACAUCAAUUUCCUUUGCUGUAAAAAGGUAAGAGGAAGGUGGCUUCAAUUUCGGUUGAAGUGUUUAUAGCCUUUUAUCUCUGCAGUCGGGGAGAUUGAGGUCUGCAGCGUAGAUCCUUCGGGGCUAGAUACAUUUAUGCUAAGUUAUAGCUUUUCAUAGACAACUUGUUGACUAUGUUUAGUCAUGUAGCUUACUCGUAAGUGCUAUUUUACCUACGCUUAGGAUGUUGAGCGCAUGUCUCUCUCU